Suricata suricatta (meerkat) is the source of this 497-nucleotide long non-coding RNA. RefSeq lists it as uncharacterized. Lineage: Eukaryota; Metazoa; Chordata; Mammalia; Carnivora; Herpestidae. The record is from RefSeq and is a predicted model, not a curated record. The transcript is spliced from 3 exons.
GCUUCUGUCUUGUUACUCUGUCAUUUUGAAGGAGUAUGGUUGAAGCUGGGUUGCCUCAGGCUCCAUGCCCAUGAUACCUUCUUUCGUAAAGGAGCACACGGAAGUCCUCAGAGUAAACAAUUCCUUUGUAAAUAAAGGAGGGAGAAAUGACACAAUGGUUUCCAUUCACAUUCCGUUUGCAAGAACUUGAUCACAUGACCCCACCAGCUGCCAGGACAGAAAGGUGGUAGCCUGGAAUUGCAGCCACUACCCUCUUACUGUGAGGAUGACGCCGGCCUAGGGAUAAGAGCAGGUCUGGAUUUUAUGAAGACCGUUUACAGAAGAGCAUUUGGUGAUAUGCGUUGUCUCCGCAGAUGACAUUGUUACUCAGCUUCCUUCCCCAGCCACAUGUUGCACUUGCCCUUUCUCUGUUUACUAAUCUCACCGGAGCUCCAAUCCAGCCCCUCUCUUUAUAAAGGCUGCUUGCACUUUCAUGCAAACAAAUGUCAGAAAUACAA